RNAcentral lists this ribosomal RNA (641 nucleotides) under Listeria monocytogenes. RNAcentral describes it as "bacterial SSU rRNA". It matches the Rfam family "Bacterial small subunit ribosomal RNA", at positions 875 to 1517 of the family's 1533-position model. The record is from RNAcentral. Lineage: Bacteria; Bacillati; Bacillota; Bacilli; Caryophanales; Listeriaceae.
GGGGAGUACGACCGCAAGGUUGAAACUCAAAGGAAUUGACGGGGGCCCGCACAAGCGGUGGAGCAUGUGGUUUAAUUCGAAGCAACGCGAAGAACCUUACCAGGUCUUGACAUCCUUUGACCACUCUGGAGACAGAGCUUUCCCUUCGGGGACAAAGUGACAGGUGGUGCAUGGUUGUCGUCAGCUCGUGUCGUGAGAUGUUGGGUUAAGUCCCGCAACGAGCGCAACCCUUGAUUUUAGUUGCCAGCAUUUAGUUGGGCACUCUAAAGUGACUGCCGGUGCAAGCCGGAGGAAGGUGGGGAUGACGUCAAAUCAUCAUGCCCCUUAUGACCUGGGCUACACACGUGCUACAAUGGAUAGUACAAAGGGUCGCGAAGCCGCGAGGUGGAGCUAAUCCCAUAAAACUAUUCUCAGUUCGGAUUGUAGGCUGCAACUCGCCUACAUGAAGCCGGAAUCGCUAGUAAUCGUGGAUCAGCAUGCCACGGUGAAUACGUUCCCGGGCCUUGUACACACCGCCCGUCACACCACGAGAGUUUGUAACACCCGAAGUCGGUAGGGUAACCUUUAUGGAGCCAGCCGCCGAAGGUGGGACAGAUAAUUGGGGUGAAGUCGUAACAAGGUAGCCGUAUCGGAAGGUGCGG